This 4130-nucleotide long non-coding RNA is filed under the name Mytilus galloprovincialis (Mediterranean mussel). Lineage: Eukaryota; Metazoa; Mollusca; Bivalvia; Mytilida; Mytilidae. The record is from RNAcentral.
ACUUCUCCUUAGAAAAAAUGCCUUGCAAUGCGUCAUAAUUAUCUGGACUACUAACUUACUUGAACUUCCAUAUAACUUCGAAAACAGACAAUAAUCUAUUUCACUGGAUGAGAUUGGGCUCACGGAUUUUUUAAUGGAUUGGUAAUUUUUAUUUAUAGCACAAGUUUACAAAGCAAGAUUAAUCACAUUUUUCAUCCUACAAAUGGUUGCCUCCUUACUGACUUACACCUACACUAGCUAAAAAACAUAUUCAUAUGAACAUUUGGUAUCAUUUAUUUUGUGUGACAACUCUUCACCAAUGACCUGAGUGAAAGGUUGACGGGCGGAUCCAGAACUUUUCAUUUGGGGGGGGGGGUUCAGAUGGGGGAUGCUUGCCUCAGUCAUGUUUCUGUGAUUCCCUAUAUAAUCAACAAAAUUUUUCACACAAAAAGGGGGGCAGGGAUUUCUCCUUAAUAAGAAAUCUCUAUUUUCAGCAUAAGCUCAUAUAAAUUUGCCUUUUGAAGAACUGAAAUAAAUAUGAGACGGCUAAUGAUUUUUCAGAUGCUUUACAUUAAAAUACAUCCAUGUGACAUACACAAUUAUAUAUACAUUGUAGAUCCAAAUUUAAAAAGCUAUUUUUUUCAAUAUUUAAAUAAUGUAGGAUCAAAUCUUGAUACAUGUAUGUAGUUGAAAUUGUUAGCUUUAAACAUUAAAAAAUGAACACCCAAAGUUUAAACAUAAGAAUGACCAUGCAGUCUUUAUUAAUAGAUAUAGGAAGAUGUGGUGUGAGUGCCAAUGAGACAACUCUCCAUACAAACAAUUUAAAAAGUCAUUAUAGUUAAAUACGGCCUUCAACACGGAGCCUUGCUCACCCGAACAACAAGCUAUAAAGGGCCCCAAAAUUACUAUGUAAAACAUUCAAACGGGAAAACCAACGGUCUAAUCCAUAUAAACAAAACGAGAAACGAGAAACAAUGUAUGCUAUUGCUAUGAAACUAGGUCAUUGUAGGUAAACUGUCAUCUAUUCCCUUAAAUCUUUGUUCCCAGUCACCCCAAGUUUGAUUUAAAUUAGUCAAGUAUAUCUACUCUAUUAGGUCUCUAGUUCAUUUAGUUUGGAUAGUGUAUAACUUGCAAAUUAAAAUCAUACUCCUCCCAAAUUUAUUUCUUUAAAUAUUAUGGAUGAAAUAGCAAGUAAGGGAUGAAAUUAAAUUGGAUGAAAUGUGGCAUUUUUUUUUGGAUAAAGUAGUAUGUCUGAUGUUGUCAAACUUAAUUAUAGACCCUUAAGGGGCGGAUCCAGUCAUUUUAAAAAGGGGUGGGGGUGGGAUUCUAACCCAGGACAAAAGGGGAAGCGGGGGGGGGGGGGGGGGGUCCAAUUACAUGUCCCUAUUCAAAUGCAUUGAUAAUCCAAAAAAAGGGGUUCCAAUCCCUUGAACCCCCUCUGGAUCCGUGCCUGCCCUUUAAAAAUAAAAUUAUCCUUAUUUUGAGUUAAAGCUUAUAGAUUUUUCUAUAAUGCUUCUCAGGGGCGGAUCCAGCCAUUUUAAAAGGGGGGUCCCAACCAAGAGUAAAGAGGGGUUCCAACUAUAUCUCCCAUUCAAAUGCAUUGCUCGGUAAAAGAAAAGGAUUCCAACCCUCGAAUCUAUGGUCAGGUUGUUGUCUCUUUGACACAUUCCCUUUUUCCAUUCUCAAUUUUAUCAUGUAGUCGUCGUUGUCCCAGGACAUUUAGUUUUCGCUUAAUUACUUUAGUACAAGUUAAUAGAAAUCUAUGAAAUUCAAACACAAGGUUUGUGACCAGAGUGUUUUGUUCAGAGUUUAGGAAUUAACAUGAAUUAGGGGCCAAAAGGGGCCAAUAUUAAACUUUGUUUGAUUUUAUAGAAAAUUGAAUUAUUGGAGUUCUUUGAUAUGCCAAAUCUAACUGUGUAUUUAGAUUCCUAGUUUUUUGGUCCUGUUUAAAUUGGUCUACCUUAAGGUCCAAAGGGUCCAAAAUUAAACUUAUUUUGAUUUUAACAAUAUUUAAAUUCUUGGUGUUCAGAUUAAUAUGCUGAAUCUGAAUAUUUACUUAGAUUUUUUUAUUAUGGGCCCAAAUUUCAAGUUGGUCCAAAUCGGGGUCCAAAAUUUUACUUUGUUUGAUUUCAACAAAAAUUGAUAUUAUAUGGGGCUCUUUGAUAUGCUGAAUCUAACCAUUCAUUAAUAUUUUUGAUAUUUUGGCCCGUUAUCAAAUUGGUCCACAUUGAGUUCUAAAGGGUCCAAAAUUUAACUUUAUUUGAUUUCAUCAAAAAAUGAAUUAUUGGGGUUCUUUGAUCAUGUUGAUAUGCUGCAUCUAACCAUGUAUUGAGAUUUUGAAUAUUGGACCAUUUUAGAGGUUAAUUGUCAAUUUAAAAUUUUUAAGUACUUGGACCACAUUCAUUCUGUGUCAGAAACCUAUGCUGCAUCAACUAUUGAAUCACAAUCCAAAUUUAAAAUUCAGAGUUGUAUCGAGCUUGAAUGUUGUGUCCAUACUUGCCCCAACUGUUCUGGGUUCAACCUGUACGUUUGUAUCAAGCUGAGCCAUGCAUAGCAUUUUUAUUGGUUAUUUAUAUAUUAAUUUGAAAUUUUGACGAGUGAGACACAUACAGAUUAUACUGUUAACAAUAUUUCAGAGUUUAACGUAGUCAAGCGAAACAAAUUAUAGAAGAAUAGUUGAAUCAUGUCUUUGUUGUCCAAUGAAAAAUUAGUACGAACACAAAGAAAAAGUAUGGGAAUGUUUGUUUUUUAAACUAUUGACCAGGGUGAAAGUCUUUGAAAGUCAUGACUGGCAAAAAGUUUGUGAAAUGAAAUAGCACAAAUAUUCCAUUCUUUUUAAAAUAUAACUGCAUAUAAAGAAAAACACAAACUGAUGUUUAAUAAUAGUUUUUACCCUUUUUAUGUUUUAUAGGACAAGAAAUAUAGAAAAAUAAUGAAAAAUAUAAACAGUUACAAUAGAAAUGAGCGCAAAACAAGAUAAACAGAAUACAACAAGGCCUAAAUGGUAAGACCACUUCUAUAUACUGUAAAUUCAGAUUUUUUCAGGGAAUGGACAACUUAUUGUGAUUACAAAAAAAAUCUGCAUAAAGAUCUAUAUAGUUACAUGAUAUAUAUAUAUAUAUAUAUGUUUCUGUUAUCAAAAUAUGAUUUCUUAUUUUUGCGAUACUCACCCAGUCACAUUAUUCGCAUUACUAAAAAGUUUCGAUAAUUUCUGAAUUACAGUAAUAAAAGAAAUUGCCUUUGAAUGAUGACUCAUAUAAAAAUAAGAAAAUGUGGUAUGGUAAAUGAGUGACUUAUCCACCAGAGUUCAAUGAAGCGGAUGCAAGAAAUUAAAGGCCAAUCAUGGCCUGCCUUCAAUAAUGAGAAAACACUUCCUUUAUAGGUCAUCCAUUAAAGAUCUCAACAUAUAAAGAUUUAAACAAUCCAAUUUAGUUCAACAUGUUCAAAGUCAAUAACAAUUAAUAAAAAAAAAUCAUGCCUAAUAUAAAAUAUUGUUUGUUUCUCCAAUCCUGACCGACCCUGCAAAAAUGGCCCUACUCAUAAAAUUUUAUUGUCAAAACUAAGCCAAAUAUUAUUUUAUUCAUUUCUGAUUUUCGGGCUUGCCGGAUCAUCCGAUAAUAUUCAGGCUUUUUGGGAAAAAUAAAAUUAUUUACCUACCUACCUACCCACACCUGGCUUGUCAGAAUAGGGAUUAGGGAAACAAACAAUAUAUUAAUUUAGGCCUCAUGUCUGUGAGCACUCAACCUGACCAUAAUAUAGGACAGUGGUUCAAAUAUUAACACAACAUAUGAACAUUCUAUAACAACUAUUGCAAGUGGCUCAACUUUAAAUAUCACUGCAAGGCACUAAACAACGAAUAUAAACUCUUGGACACAAAGCACUGAAAUAAGAGAACUCAUAAGCAUGACAAGUAAGAAUAUCAAAUGAAAGUUUCUCAAAAUGUUCAUUAAAACAUGAUAAAAUAAGCUUAUUUAUAUUGCUGUUUUUUUCUCCAUUUAUAACAUUUUUUUUUUUAUUUUGUGUAUUUAUAGGUCAGAUAUCUUGGUUUUUAUGAUCAUCAACAGGUCCUGCAGGUCUAUACUGAAGAGGAAACUUAAUUGUUAAUACUUUUCUACAUAAUGUGCUAAUUGGAUUAUUAAUGUGAAAUGAAC